AUACUUACCUGGCAGGGGAGAUCCCAUGAUCACAAAGGUGGUUUUCCCAGGGCGAGGCUUAUCCAUUGCACUCUGGAUGUGCUGACCCCUGCGAUUUCCCCAAAUGUGGGAAACUCGACUGCAUUAAAAAUAAAUAAAUAUAUAUAUAUAUAUAUAUA
Small nuclear RNA from Echinops telfairi (small Madagascar hedgehog), 158 nucleotides. RefSeq annotates it as U1 spliceosomal RNA. The transcript has a single exon. Lineage: Eukaryota; Metazoa; Chordata; Mammalia; Afrosoricida; Tenrecidae. The record is from RefSeq and is a predicted model, not a curated record.